Long non-coding RNA from Meriones unguiculatus (Mongolian gerbil), 1407 nucleotides. RefSeq lists it as uncharacterized. Lineage: Eukaryota; Metazoa; Chordata; Mammalia; Rodentia; Muridae. The record is from RefSeq and is a predicted model, not a curated record. The transcript is spliced from 5 exons.
GGAAGCCAGUGCUGGGGCCUCACAUCACAGCUGGGGUGACAUCAGAAAUACGGUCAAGAGUUCCCAGAGUAAAUAGUUCCAAAUUUGCCCUGGGAUUGAAACACUCCCUAAAAUCCUGCGUGUGAGAUCCCCCUGUUUUUCUGCAUGGACACGUGGGUGUAUGAGCACAUGGCAUCCUGCUUUCAGAAACACUGAAACAUCAUAUAAGUGAAAUACCUUCUAAAGGUGUCUGCUCAAAGGAGAUUGUGGGACCAGUGCUUUGGGAGACCAUGGUAUCCACAUGAUUGCUGGCCAGGAUUCAUGCACAUUUUCUCCAAGUCUUGCAGUAUCCUGAGUUAAAGCUGGAGAAGGAAAACUUUGCCCAUCUUAGAUUUCCAGUUGUUUUCUCCACCUACACUCUGCUAAGUUUGUUUAUAUGGUGGAUUACAUUGAUGGAUUUCCAUAUAUUGAACCACCCCUGCAUGCCUGGGAUGAAGCUUACGUGGUCAUAGUGGAUGAUAUCUUUGGUGUGUUCUUGAUUUGGUUGGCAAGCAUUUUAUUGAGUAUUUUUGCAUCAAUGUUCAUAAAAGAGAUUGGCUGGAAACAAGCCAGAUGCACCUCAGUAGAGGAAUGGAUACAGAAAUUGUGGUACAUUUACCCAAUGGAAUAUUACUCAAUAAUUAAAAACAAAGAAAUCAUGACAUUUGCAGGCAAAUGGUGGGAUCUAGAAAAGAUCAUUCCGAGUGAGGUAUCCCAGAAGCAGAAAGACACACAGGGUAUAUACUCACUUAUAAGUGGGUAUUAGACAUAUAAUACAGGGUACUCAUGCUAAAAUCUGUACACCUAAGGAAGCUAAUCAAGAAGGAGGACCGUGGGUAAGAUGCUCAAUCUUCAUUCAGAAAGGCAAAUGAGAUGGACAUCAGAAGAGGGAGAAAAAAGGGAACAGGACAGGAGCCCAUCACAGAUGGUCUCUGAAAGACUUCACCCAGCAGUGAAGUAUCAAAACAUAUGCCGAGAUGCAUAACCAAACUUUGGGCAGAGUGCAGGGAAUCUUAUGAAAGAAGGGGGAGAUAGAAAGACCUGGAGGGAACAGGAGCUCCACAAAUGGAGCAACAGAACCAAAAAGUCUGGGCACAGGGGUCUUUUCUGAGACAGAUACUCCAAACAAGGACCACACAUGGAGAUAACUUAGAACUCCUGCACAGAAGUAGCCCAAGGCAGCUCAGUAUCCAAGAGGUUUCCCCAAUAAUAGGACCAGGAACCAUCUUUGACAUGAACUCAUGGGUUGGCUCUUGGAUCACUUCCGCCUGAGGGGGAAGCAGCCCUGCCAGGCCACAGAGGAAGACAAAGAUGCCAGUCCUGGUGAGGCCUGAUGGACUGGAAGACCUCCCCAAUUAUUGGACUUGGGGAGGGGCAUAGGAGAAGAAG